AACGCUGGCGGCAUGCUUACACAUGCAAGUCGAGCGGAGAUGAGGUGCUUGCACCUUAUCUUAGCGGCGGACGGGUGAGUAAUGCUUAGGAAUCUGCCUAUUAGUGGGGGACAACAUUCCGAAAGGGAUGCUAAUACCGCAUACGUCCUACGGGAGAAAGCAGGGGAUCUUCGGACCUUGCGCUAAUAGAUGAGCCUAAGUCGGAUUAGCUAGUUGGUGGGGUAAAGGCCUACCAAGGCGACGAUCUGUAGCGGGUCUGAGAGGAUGAUCCGCCACACUGGGACUGAGACACGGCCCAGACUCCUACGGGAGGCAGCAGUGGGGAAUAUUGGACAAUGGGGGGAACCCUGAUCCAGCCAUGCCGCGUGUGUGAAGAAGGCCUUAUGGUUGUAAAGCACUUUAAGCGAGGAGGAGGCUACUGAGACUAAUACUCUUGGAUAGUGGACGUUACUCGCAGAAUAAGCACCGGCUAACUCUGUGCCAGCAGCCGCGGUAAUACAGAGGGUGCGAGCGUUAAUCGGAUUUACUGGGCGUAAAGCGUGCGUAGGCGGCUUUUUAAGUCGGAUGUGAAAUCCCCGAGCUUAACUUGGGAAUUGCAUUCGAUACUGGGAAGCUAGAGUAUGGGAGAGGAUGGUAGAAUUCCAGGUGUAGCGGUGAAAUGCGUAGAGAUCUGGAGGAAUACCGAUGGCGAAGGCAGCCAUCUGGCCUAAUACUGACGCUGAGGUACGAAAGCAUGGGGAGCAAACAGGAUUAGAUACCCUGGUAGUCCAUGCCGUAAACGAUGUCUACUAGCCGUUGGGGCCUUUGAAGCUUUAGUGGCGCAGCUAACGCGAUUAGUAGACCGCCUGGGGGAAUACGGUUG
Molecule: ribosomal RNA, 862 nt
Filed under: uncultured organism
Description: SSU rRNA
Rfam family: Bacterial small subunit ribosomal RNA
Source: RNAcentral